CGGGUGGUAAUGCCGGAUGCUCCAUCACACCGCAUGGUGUGUUGGGAAAGCCUUUGCGGCAUGGGAUGGGGUCGCGUCCUAUCAGCUUGAUGGCGGGGUAACGGCCCACCAUGGCUUCGACGGGUAGCCGGCCUGAGAGGGCGACCGGCCACAUUGGGACUGAGAUACGGCCCAGACUCCUACGGGAGGCAGCAGUGGGGAAUAUUGCACAAUGGGCGCAAGCCUGAUGCAGCGACGCCGCGUGAGGGAUGGAGGCCUUCGGGUUGUAAACCUCUUUUGUUAGGGAGCAAGGCACUUUGUGUUGAGUGUACCUUUCGAAUAAGCACCGGCUAACUACGUGCCAGCAGCCGCGGUAAUACGUAGGGUGCAAGCGUUAUCCGGAAUUAUUGGGCGUAAAGGGCUCGUAGGCGGUUCGUCGCGUCCGGUGUGAAAGUCCAUCGCUUAACGGUGGAUCCGCGCCGGGUACGGGCGGGCUUGAGUGCGGUAGGGGAGACUGGAAUUCCCGGUGUAACGGUGGAAUGUGUAGAUAUCGGAAAGAACACCA
RNAcentral lists this ribosomal RNA (544 nucleotides) under Bifidobacterium breve. Its description in RNAcentral is "bacterial SSU rRNA". It matches the Rfam family "Bacterial small subunit ribosomal RNA", at positions 157 to 711 of the family's 1533-position model. The record is from RNAcentral. Lineage: Bacteria; Bacillati; Actinomycetota; Actinomycetes; Bifidobacteriales; Bifidobacteriaceae.